This 506-nucleotide ribosomal RNA is filed under the name uncultured bacterium. Its description in RNAcentral is "partial 16S ribosomal RNA". It matches the Rfam family "Bacterial small subunit ribosomal RNA", at positions 28 to 523 of the family's 1533-position model. The record is from RNAcentral.
GAUGAACGCUAGCUACAGGCUUAACACAUGCAAGUCGAGGGGUAACGAGAGGAAAGCUUGCUUUCCUUGUCGACGACCGGCGCACGGGUGAGUAACGCGUAUCCAACCUGCCCCCAACUAGGGAAUAACCUUGCGAAAGUAAGACUAAUACCCUAUAAUUUCCUCAGAUGUCAUCUGACGAGGAAUAAAGAUUUAUCGGUUGUGGAUGGGGAUGCGUCUGAUUAGCUUGUUGGCGGGGUAACGGCCCACCAAGGCAACGAUGAGUAGGGGUUCGGAGAGGAAGGUCCCCCACAUCGGAACUGAGACACGGACCAACCUCCUACGGGAGGCAGCAGUGAAGAAUAUUGGUCAAUGGGCGGAAGCCUGAACCAGCCAAGUAGCGUGCAGGCUGACGGCCCUAUGGGUUGUAAACUGCUUUUAUACAGGAAUAAAGUUAGCCACGUGUUGUUAUUUGUAGGUACUGUAUGAAUAAGGACCGGCUAAUUCCGUGCCAGCCGCCGCAGUAA